Molecule: ribosomal RNA, 460 nt
Filed under: uncultured bacterium
Lineage: Bacteria
Description: partial 16S ribosomal RNA
Rfam family: Bacterial small subunit ribosomal RNA
Source: RNAcentral
CCUACGGGUGGCAGCAGUGAGGAAUAUUGGUCAAUGGGCGCGAGCCUGAACCAGCCAAGUAGCGUGAAGGAUGACUGCCCUACGGGUUGUAAACUCCUUUUAUAAAGGAGUAAAGUGAGGCACGUGUGCCUUUAUGUAUGUACUUUAUGAAUAAGGAUCGGCUAACUCCGCUCCAGCAGCCGCGGUAAUACGGAGGAUACGAGCGUUAUCCGGAUUUAUUGGGUUUAAAGGGAGCGUAGAUGGGUUGUUAAGUCAGAUGUGAAAGUUUGCGGCUCAACCGUAAAAUUGCAAUUGAUACUGGCAGUCUUGAGUACAGUUGAGGUAGGCGGAAUGCGAGGUGUAGCGGUGAAAUGCGUAGAUAUAACGAAGAACUCCGAUUGCGAAGGCAGCUUACUAAUCUGCCACUGACAUUGAUGCUCGAAAGUGUGGGUAGCAAACAGGAUUAGAUACCCGUGUAGUC